This 253-nucleotide ribosomal RNA is filed under the name uncultured bacterium. RNAcentral describes it as "partial 16S ribosomal RNA". It matches the Rfam family "Bacterial small subunit ribosomal RNA", at positions 524 to 776 of the family's 1533-position model. The record is from RNAcentral.
CACGUAGGGUGCGAGCGUUGUCCGGAAUUAUUGGGCGUAAAGAGCGUGUAGGCGGCUUUGCAAGUCCGUUGUGAAAACUCGAGGCUCAACCUCGAGACGCCGGUGGAAACUGCAAAGCUAGAGUCCGGAAGAGGAGAGUGGAAUUCCUGGUGUAGCGGUGAAAUGCGCAGAUAUCAGGAAGAACACCCGUGGCGAAGGCGGCUCUCUGGGACGGUACUGACGCUGAGACGCGAAAGCGUGGGGAGCGAACAGG